Molecule: long non-coding RNA, 3932 nt
Filed under: Sus scrofa (pig)
Lineage: Eukaryota; Metazoa; Chordata; Mammalia; Artiodactyla; Suidae
Description: lncRNA (ENSSSCG00040018917.1)
Source: RNAcentral
GUGAAUAUGCUUAAUGCCACCAAAUUGCACAUUAUAAAUGGUUGCCGUGGCAAAUUUUGUUAUGUAUAUUUGACCACACAAAAGAACUAUGCAUAACCAACUUGAGGUCACAUGUUAGUCACUUUAGGAGCUUGUAAAUAAGCUUCUUCGCUGUCCUCCUUAUCCUGUACACCAAUAAAGGAGGGACCAAAUUUGGAGUAAACAUCUCAUGCCAACUACCAAUGUCUGGUACCAAUUCCCAAAGAACAACUCUCAAAUGUUGGUGUUUAUUCCCCAUUUAAAACAAAAAUGAAACAAACUUGGUUUCUGUAGUCAUAUAAGCUUCUGAUAAACUAAAUUCCGUCAUUCCUAUAAAAUAAAUAUUACCACCAAACAGAGGGGCAACGUAAGCUGCAUCUUUCCAUGAGUUUCUAGUCUUGAUAUUUAUUCUCAAAUUUCUUCAUCAACUUACUGAUAAGUUGGAAGGAAGCCCAGGUAUUGAGGAAAAUCCUGGAUCUCUCUUGCUUUAUUUUCUGAAUGAAAUAAAUAACGUAUAUAGUUCUGAAAUGGAGAUGGACAUGAAAGCCUUAUUUUUGGUUGUAAGAAAACAGGAAAUAACUAAAUGAGUUUUGAUCCUUUAUAUUGGACAUAGGACCUUCUUACCUGCCUGCCUCUGUUUUCAAACAAUUUGGAUGCAGAAAUUCCGAGCUCUUAUAGCUCUUUCACUGAAGCUCGUUAGAAUAGGGCAAUAACUACUUCUAAAAUGCUCUCUCAGCUCAGAAUUCUUUUUUUUUUUUUUUUUUUUUUUUUNUUUUUUUUUUUUUUUUUUUUUGUAUUGAAAACCAAAUAAAUGCAUGUUAUAGACUCUUAAAGCACUAAGGGAGGACAAAUAUCUGAUUGAUCUACUCAUUUUAAAGAAUUAGGCACUUGAUGCCUAUGGCUCAGAGCUACUUAUAAUCCCAGUAUCUUGUGAAUGGUUAGUGGUACAACAAAGCCCGGGAUGUGGGUUAUUUGUUCUUUUUAGUUGGAUUUAGUCAAAUAGUCAAAAGAUUAUGACGAGACUGUAUUAAAAAUAUAGAGCUAUAAUAUGAUAACAUCAUACCAACCCUUGGUUUUCAUGCCAGUAUCAUUCUAUAAGAGGAAGGAUGCCUAUUUGGCCAGGGCCUCCAUUCACAGAAGAUCUAGAAUCUUUUUUUUUUUUCNUUUUAGGCCGCACCUGUGGCUUAUGGAAGUUCCCAGGCUAGGGGUUAAAUCAGAGCUGUAGCUGCUGGCCUACAUCAAUCACAGCCAUAGCAAUGCCAGAUCCAUACCCUGUCUGCAACCUACACCACAGCUCAUGACAGUACUGGAUCCUUAACCCUCUGAGCCAGGCCAGGGAUUGAACCCACAACCUCAUGGACACCAGUCGGGUUUGUUUCCACUGAGCCACACCGGAACUCCCUGGAAUCUUAGGUUUAGAUGUUUCUCCUUAAUUUUCUCUGGGGAGUACAAGGAUAUUACCUAAUCUUUUCAGGUUAAAAGUGUCAAUAUGUUAAUAUAGGAAGUAUUUUAAAAACCUCUUUUUGGCAUUUUUUCCACUUUUAAUGUCUCAGAUUCUCAAAGUGGACAUCACUGGAAUCUUUCUGGAGCCCUGAGUGGUCUUGUCUGUAGCUGUUGGCCACAUAGGCAUGUGCUGCUCACUGUGGAGAAGUAUGCUCUGCUGUUUGAUAGCUCUCACUGUCAGAAAUUCCAGCUGUCCAGACCCCAGCCUCCUGACUCAUAAUAGGCUUUCAGAAUCGCUCAGGACUCAAGAGUAACUGAACCAAAUCUAGAAACCGUUAGAAGAAACCAGCACGGCAGAGAAGAGCACAGGUUGUGGAUUAGAGAAGUUUCACUGGAUGAUGCACAGAUUGGCUGUCGAUAUUUUUAAAGGACCUGUGAAACCCGAGAAGCAUUCAAGGGGCGGGGAUGAGGCAGAAGCUACCAAGAAAAGAAAAGCAGAGGAGAAGAAGGAAGAGAGUGGGCGAAGAGGAGCAGCAGAAGUGAAGAAAGAGGACCAGGGAGAGGGAUGGCAGAGAGUGGGCUCUCUGAAGAGAGAAAACCCAGAACCCUGAAAAUUAGCAUUCUGUGAGGGAAUAUCAUGCCUCUACAGUGUGGUGUGUGGAUGGGGCAGGGGAGCAGGCAACGGAGAAGGUGCACUGGAACUUCAUCUCAACCAUCAAUCCAAAGCCAUAGCAGCCAUCACACUUCAGCACUUUAUACAAGAUGAACUUGAUGGAAGUGUUAUGGGUUGCAUUUUGAUAGCUUUGUAAUGGAUCAAUCAGACUAAAUUGAAAGAAAAAAAAAUCGUCUUUAGUUACCUCAGUUGAAACAAAGCCAUGUACUUUAAAGAAAAAUGCAGAGUGGGAGCGGAUCUUCAAAGCUGUGGGGCUCAAGGCAUCUUUAAAGAUGAAUGUCCUUCCCUUCUGGCCCCUUCCUCUCUAUCCCUCUCUUCUCUCCCCCUCCCCUCCUCCCUCUGUCUCAGCAGACUCUUCACAUCUAAUUUACUCUCUGUUCACCACCAAGUGACUUCAUCCUUCUCCUCUCUGUAUCUUUUCUGGUCCCUCCAAACUUUGGAUUACACAUGGCAUUAUGUCACCAUUAGCUCACUGCUGACUGGCACAGUUCUUCGGUGUUUCCCUUUAUACAUUUUGGAAACGAAGAUGCCAAACGGCUUAACUCACCCUUUCAGAGCUACACGAUGUGUCAUAUGCUAGAUUAUAAGUCUUCUGGCCGUUCAUCUUGGUGCCAAUUUUCAAGCUUCUCACCUGGGGGCAGGGCCAGGGUAGGGGCACAGUGGUAUGAAAUGUAGGUGCUUAGGCAAAGGAGAUGCCUAAGUGGUUGGGAUGAGAAAUUACCCAGGAGAGAUCCUCAGACAUCUCUAGUGCAGGCAUAGCUGCAAAGCAUUGUAAGAUAAUGGGCACAAAUGGGGUAGAACAGUGCUGAGUUGUAAUGCUGUCGAAUACUGUGGGUGCAACACAGUCUCCAGACUCCGUUUGUAAAAGACAAGACCAGGCACAUAGGAAAGUUGUGUUAGCUGUAAAAGAACAAACAAACAUUUGAAAGGUUGAUGAAUCACUGCACAUUCGUUCAUCUCCCUUAUACGAUAUCAAAUCUCAGAAAGGCAGCUGUUCACAUUUUCGGGUGCCUGGUAAAUCUUCUCAAGCGGCUGAGGAUUCAAUAUCAUGCAUAUGACAAAAUUAGGCAAGUCAACUGUGUGUUACAUGAGUGGCUCAUUUCGCCUGAUGUUCUAUUGCAUUUGCAGCUGCAGCUGCGUCUCAGACACGUAACAUUAACUGAUGUUCAUAAUGAUAACACUGAGUCAUUAAGAAAACCUGUAUUAUGUCUGGUACAGUAGACUUGAGAAGUAGAGAGAUGCAGUGGAGAAAGAACUAAGAUUCAGGAGUUCCUGCUUAAUUGCAGACGUGGAGAGAGGUGAGCUGCUUAUGCCUUUGCCCUUCAGCAAUAGGAUUCCUGUGAGGCAGGCACAGUGAUACCCAUUCUACAGCUGAGAAAACAUGUUUAGAUGUGUUAGUAAAUUGUACAGAAUCCGGUUAGGAACGCAAAUCCAUCUUACUCCAGAACUUGCGUUCUUUCCUCACACCACCAAAUUUGCUGGGUGUUUUCGUUUGUUUGUUUGUUUUUGUUUUUGGUAGAGUCUAACUUGUGGCACAGAUGAUCUUAUCUACAAAAUGGAAACAGAUCAUGGCCAAGGAGAGUACAUUUGUAGUUCCCAGGGAGGACAGCGGAGGGAGUGGAAUGGGCGGGCAGUUCCAGGUUUUUGGAUGCAAACUCUUAUAUUUGGAAUGGAUGAGCAACGGGACCCUACAGGACAGCACAGCACAGGGAAAUGUUGUGUGCCCGGGGUCACAUUGUUGUACAACAGAAAUUGAAGAAAUGUAAAUCAAUUACACUUGAAUAAAAAAAAAAAAAAA